This 253-nucleotide ribosomal RNA is filed under the name uncultured bacterium. RNAcentral describes it as "partial 16S ribosomal RNA". It matches the Rfam family "Bacterial small subunit ribosomal RNA", at positions 524 to 776 of the family's 1533-position model. The record is from RNAcentral.
UACAGAGGUCCCAAGCGUUGUUCGGAUUCAUUGGGCGUAAAGGGCGCGUAGGCGGGAUGGCAAGUCGGUCGUGAAAUCCUUCGGCUCAACCGAAGAACGUCGGCCGAUACUGCCGUUCUUGAGGGAUGCAGAGGAGAUUGGAAUUCCCGGUGUAGCGGUGAAAUGUGUAGAGAUCGGGAGGAACACCGGUGGCGAAGGCGGGUCUCUGGGCAUCUCCUGACGCUGAGGCGCGAAAGCGUGGGGAGCAAACGGG